UAGGGUUUGAUUCUGGCUCAGAUUGAACGCUGGCGGCAGGCCUAACACAUGCAAGUCGAGCGCGAAAGCACUUCGGUGUGAGUAGAGCGGCGGACGGGUGAGUAACGCGUAGGAAUCUACCUGGUAGUGGGGGACAACUCGGGGAAACUCGAGCUAAUACCGCAUACGCCCUACGGGGGAAAGCGGGGGACCUUCGGGCCUCGCGCUAUCAGAUGAGCCUGCGUUGGAUUAGCUAGUUGGUGGGGUAAUGGCCUACCAAGGCGACGAUCCAUAGCUGGUCUGAGAGGAUGAUCAGCCACACCGGGACUGAGACACGGCCCGGACUCCUACGGGAGGCAGCAGUGGGGAAUAUUGCGCAAUGGGCGAAAGCCUGACGCAGCCAUGCCGCGUGUGUGAAGAAGGCCUUCGGGUUGUAAAGCACUUUCAAUUGGGAGGAAAGGUUCACGGCUAAUACCCGUGAGCCGUGACGUUACCUUUAGAAGAAGCACCGGCUAACUCCGUGCCAGCCGCCGCGGUAAUUCA
Molecule: ribosomal RNA, 522 nt
Filed under: uncultured Alteromonadales bacterium
Lineage: Bacteria; Pseudomonadati; Pseudomonadota; Gammaproteobacteria; Alteromonadales
Description: bacterial SSU rRNA
Rfam family: Bacterial small subunit ribosomal RNA
Source: RNAcentral